This 809-nucleotide ribosomal RNA is filed under the name uncultured archaeon. RNAcentral describes it as "bacterial SSU rRNA". It matches the Rfam family "Archaeal small subunit ribosomal RNA", at positions 85 to 875 of the family's 1478-position model. The record is from RNAcentral.
ACGGCUCAGUAACACGUGGCUAACCCACCCUUGAGACGGAGAAAACCCCGGGAAACUGGGGUUAAUCUCCGAUAAGAGAAGACCCCUGGAAUGGGUCUUCUCUCAAAGGGCGCCUAGACCAUGCUUCUAGGCGUUGCUCAAGGACGGGGCCGCGGCCGAUCAGGUUGUUGGUGAGGCAACGGCUCACCAAGCCUAUAACCGGUACGGGCCGUGAGAGCGGGAGCCCGGAGAUGGGCACUGAGACAAGGGCCCAGGCCCUACGGGGCGCAGCAGUUGCGAAAACUCCGCAAUGCACGAAAGUGUGACGGGGCUACCCCGAGUGCCGUCCGCUGAGGGCGGCUUUUCCCCGGUGUAAGGAGCCGGGGGAAUAAGGAGAGGGCAAGUCUGGUGUCAGCCGCCGCGGUAAUACCAGCUCUCCGAGUGGUAGGGAUGAUUAUUGGGCUUAAAGCGUCCGUAGCCGGCCCGGCAAGUCUUCCGUUAAAUCCAACGAUUCAAUCGUUGGACUGCAGGAGAUACCGUUGGGCUAGGGGGCGGGAGCGGCCGACGGUAUUCUCGGGGUAGGGGUAAAAUCCUAUAAUCCCGGGAGGACCACCAGUGGCGAAGGCGGUCGGCUAGAACGCGCUCGACGGUGAGGGGACGAAAGCUGGGGGGAGCGAACCGGAUUAGAUACCCGGGUAGUCCCAGCUGUAAACGAUGCGGGCUAGGCGUUGGGGCGGCUACGGGCCGCUUCAGUGCCGCAGGGAAACCAUUAAGCCCGCCGCCUGGGGAGUACGGCCGCAAGGCUGAAACUUAAAGGAAUUGGCGGGGAG